Molecule: unclassified non-coding RNA, 90 nt
Filed under: Pseudomonas jessenii
Lineage: Bacteria; Pseudomonadati; Pseudomonadota; Gammaproteobacteria; Pseudomonadales; Pseudomonadaceae
Source: RNAcentral
UGUGGGAGCGAGCUUGCUCGCGAUGACGAUUGCACAGUCAGCAUCGUCGUUGACUGACAUUGCGCCAUCGCGAGCAAGCUCGCUCCCACA